GUCGACGGCCAUCCCACCCCGAAUGCACCCGAUCUUCUGAUCUCAGAAGCUAAGCAGGGUCGGGCCUGGCUAGUUAGUUGGAUGGGAGACCGCCUGGGAACCCCGGGUGCUGUAGGCU
This 118-nucleotide ribosomal RNA is filed under the name Saimiri boliviensis boliviensis (Bolivian squirrel monkey). Lineage: Eukaryota; Metazoa; Chordata; Mammalia; Primates; Cebidae. The record is from RNAcentral.